CCCCGCCCCAUCUCUCGCUGGCCGCCCCCACGGCCUUGCGCCGGCCAACCCACCUCCCACCCCUCACACGCCGGCACGACCACACGCCAUCACCGCCCGCAUGGAAGGCGGCCUCACCCCUCCACCUCCCUCGCCUGCCCCCUUUUCUAACCCAGCUUCGGCCGCUGGCCCUCCCCAACCUACGCUGGCUUCCGCUGCCACACCGCCGUCGUUUCUGUGGCUGCACCACCCCGUCCGUUCACAUCCGCCACCCUGGGUCGUUCAAUGACCCAGCGGCAAGCCGUUCGACGUCUCAGCUCGAGAGGUGCCCGUCUCAGCUUUUCCCAACCUCCCCUGGACGUUCAUGCUCGUUCUCUUCAGUAUAUUCACUUCAACAUCUGGUGCUUCUUCAGUUCAUCGUAGUGUGCAUUUUCGCUUCAUCUUGCAGGUACGAUCAUUCUCUGCCCAUCCCGAAAAAAAAAACGAUCAUUCUCUGCCCCUGCUAAUGUAUUUUGUAGUAACUGUAAACAAAAGAGGUAGCACACUGGAACAAAACAGCAGUGAAGAAAGAUACCCUAUGUUAAUUUUGGUCACUCUAUUGUUCGUUCCAUCACUUGGAGAUGUAUGCCUGACCAUUUUUUCUCAAAUUUGGCAUUUGUCAAGUUGUGAGGCUACCCAUUCGGGUGUUCAUUUCAUUGGUUAAAUGUUGAAUUUAGGCUAUGAGAUUGGUAAGACCAUAAUCCAUGUUCCAGUCUUCAAUUGUUAUCAUGUAGUUCAUUACGGUCUUGAGGGGAUUUGUGUCCAGAAUGGGGGUUUUGAUUGCUGCUGGUUGAACCUACUGACAACACAGGUUUUGAUUUCUCCUGGUUAUGUAUCUCAUGGUGGUUCACAGGUAGAAGAUGGGAUAUUCAGAGCUAACUUUGUUGUUUUGGUUUGUGGCACUUAGAUGGUUUUGAAAAUGUUUUGCACAGGUUUUUUCCCCGUGGAUCCAGCACCUGUUCCUCGUGACCUGCAGCAGCAGGAGACACAAGGUCACCUCCCGGCGCUGCUGGUCACGUGAACGCCGUCAAAAAAUGGUGCUCUCAGUUCAGUACGUGAACAAUCAUCAGUUCAUGAAAAAUACAUAGUGCAGGAUUCGGGGGGUGCCUAGUCCAGCUCCUGCAACCAACACAGGUCGUUGCCCCUUUUGCCACAACGGCAGGAGCACGAACACGAGUGUGGUCGUCCUCAACCAGUUCCUCACGCGGCCUCUGCGCAAGCCCUGCUCAUGCAUGCUUACACCAAAAGUACAACUCUUGCUACUCUCCUCGUACUUGCACUUGCUUAUUUUCUAAGCACUAAUCCUAUUGCUUCCUCUUGGGGAAAGGGAUCCCAUGUUGAAGCUAUCUUGGUGCUCACACGCUAUUUAUAUUCAUCACCAUAGUGUACGAAACAUAUGAAAACCAUUCUGGCUUCGGAGAAAAUAUAACCAGUACAUGUGCAAUUGCGCGAGAAGUUCCCUUAUGAAAGUUCCUUGUAAACAAACCACAUGAAAGUUCAUCGAGAGAAACUUUGUAAGUUCAAGAUGGCUAUAGAAAAACUUUGUAGGUUCAGAUGGGUAUAGAAAACUUUGUAAAUUUAUUUUCUCAAUGUACUUAUGAUAUCCAGUUUCUUUUUUCAGUUCAGUACAAUUUCUAAAGUUCAUUCAGUUCAAUUCUCAUUUUUUUCCAGUUUCCUGAGUUCAUGGAAUUUGACAGUCUUUUGUGUGUAUAUGCAAGUUCCAGUUUUCCCGUAGAUGAAAAUUACCCUUGAAUGCAAUGUGCUAAUUGCUCAUGUAUGAUUUUACCCUUAUGAUUGUGUACAACAAUGAAAGGUUUAGAUGGCUGAGAUUGGUCAAGUUCCUUUCUAUUUCAAUUGGUGUCCAAACUGCAUAACAUGUACUUUGCAAUGACGGCCGCACAUGCCACACGCUACCAGAUUCGCCGCCCACAGGGAAGAAGACCUCUACCUAUGGCAAUGACGACCGCACAUGCCACACGCUACCAGAUUCGCCGCCCACAGCUGCAACCCUUCGACCGGCAAGGCUGCCAUUUCCCCCACACCCGACGCCGCCUGGGCACCCCGGACAACGAGACCAUCGCCUCCCCAUGCUCAAUCUAGAGUUCUUGUGUGUUUGCAUGUUGAUUGCUUGUGUUAAAGGAAGCCAGGAGAAGCUACAGGAGAAAAUUGUCUAUGACCGUGGAGCUAUGUAUGUGUAUGUAAUGUCUGCACUACGUGUAUGAACAGGAAAGAAAAUGUUGUAUGUUGAUUGAUGAAAGUUCAAUGUAAAAUAAUAGUUAACUUGGAUAGAUUUUUUAGCUCUGGUGUAGCAGUUCAACAGGUAUUAUAUCAGCAAUGCAUAAUGAAGCGCGGAAAAAGUUCAA
Long non-coding RNA from Triticum aestivum (bread wheat), 2381 nucleotides. RefSeq lists it as uncharacterized. The record is from RefSeq and is a predicted model, not a curated record. The transcript is spliced from 3 exons. NCBI's taxonomy places the organism in Eukaryota, Viridiplantae, Streptophyta, Magnoliopsida, Poales, Poaceae.